UUCUUCUACGUAAAUGUCAAGCCAAAGUAGAAAUUAGUGCGGUGUAGAUAUUUUUCCUUGUAGAUAACAAGCCAAAGUAACUCCCAACUUUCAAAUAAGAGUUAUUUUCAUGUACAUUGCGCCAGACUACUAGCUUUUGUUAUCAUUAGAGGUUUCAGUGCUUCACCGGUUCACUCCGUUGGGCAUUUGUGCUCACCAAGUCACUACACUGAACGACUCCGGGCACAACGUAUGUGUAUGCAGCAUUUCUCUCAAUAUGUGGCUGUAACUGUCUCUUGUUGUAUGUGUCAGCCACAUCUAGUGUCCAGCUGUGGCAGCAGCUUCCUCAACACAAAGAUACACAUACGUACACAGUGAUAUCUCAGGGAAUACUCAAGUCAUGAGUGAUACGUAUGGUCAUUUCCUGCCCAAUACAAGCAAGACCCUCAUAACAAGUACUAAAUAAAAAAAUAAAAAAUGAUGCCCAACAUUCACCUGUGAUAACGACAAUAGUGGUGUUCCUCUGUACCAGGAUUCAGAUGACAGAAUAAAUGCUACUAGACAAGGACAGCAGCCAGCCACCUACUCCCACCACCUGCACCUGUGAGGGCAAGGACUGGUGCUUGGUCCACUUGAAGAGGAUGCACUCUCCCUUCCUGUCUACUGGUGAGGUAAUGCCUCUGUAGCAGCUGAUUUCCCUUAACCAUCACUGGAGGGGGGAAGAGCCUUUAAAUUCAAAGUGGCCAACCUCAAGUGCUGGGUAGGCACAAGUUACAGUGCAACUUACACUUUUGAGAGAAUGUUCCUAGUCUCCCCUAACCUAACUAACUUUGAUGUAUAUUGGAUAAAUGAACAAUCCUGGAUAGACAUGACCCAAAUGAUAGAGGCCUUCUGUCUUCCUAAUUUUGUUAGGGAUGGGGGAAAUAGUGACCAACACAGCCAUAUAUCUAAUUCAGGAAUACCUUUCCUUAAAGGGGUUACUUUACACUCUGCUUCCUUCUGAGUGAGACGAAACACCCUUCCUGUCCCUUUCACUGCCCAAUAUUACAUAACAAUGGUCUCACUACCUUCCUUCCCUGGCACCUUCUGACACAUUGAGCACACCAUGCACAACCCUGGAGGACUUUAAACAGAGACAGUGGAUUGUCUCAAUGUGGCUAGUAGUAAUAUAAUAACAAUGAUCUUGUUGGCUUUGAGGAUGAUGUUUUUAACAUUGAACUUACCUCGACG
This 1209-nucleotide long non-coding RNA is filed under the name Portunus trituberculatus (swimming crab). Its description in RNAcentral is "uncharacterized LOC123504501, transcript variant X2". Lineage: Eukaryota; Metazoa; Arthropoda; Malacostraca; Decapoda; Portunidae. The record is from RNAcentral.